Molecule: long non-coding RNA, 810 nt
Organism: Helianthus annuus (common sunflower)
Lineage: Eukaryota; Viridiplantae; Streptophyta; Magnoliopsida; Asterales; Asteraceae
Exons: 3
Source: RefSeq, a predicted model, not a curated record
GUUGGGGGACUAAUUAUGUUUUUACUAAUAGUAUAAUAUGAUACCCAAACCCUAACCCUUAUUUGUUGUCAGCCGUCACCUGCAUAAGCCACUCCCCAACUUUGUUGCAACUAGAAUCAUCAGACACACUCCUUCAUCCAUCUCCUCCACCUCUCAUUCUCUCAAAAACUCUAUGUAACAAAUAAACCUUCUCACCUUCAACCUCUCAAACCCACACAUCUUGACACAACCGCCUCCCUCGUUCUCUUUCCUUCUCACGAAACGAAACGCAAAAGCCAUUCGCCGUAGUCGGAAUCUCACCAGGGUUUGAAGCAUCACCGGAAAGGUCAGAACUCGCCGGAAUCACGCCCGGAGUUCAUCGAGUCGGACACGGCUCUUCUCGUUUUGCAUAAAAAAAAGACAACCGGAACCGUGACAAAGCCAGGAUACGUUUCGCCACCCUCUCACCGUUGUUUCACUCGCGAGAACGAUAACAAACUCGUCGGAGAAAGCUAGUCGUCACCGGAGUUCACCGGAGCCGUCCGAAUCACGUCGGAGACUCGGAGAAGGCGACCGGAAAGCCCGCGGCCCUUAUAUCGUUUCGGUUAAUCGCUAUCGUUCGUUCUCUUGGUUUCCUAACCUUACUCGUGCGUUACUUACAAGAAAGCGCAACGCAACCAAUGUUGAUAGUCGCAGUGAAUCAAGAAUCAAGCUAGGGUGGACUUAGAAACACACCUAGUUAAAUAAACAAUGUUGAAACUUGAAUUGAUUGUAUUUGUGUUUUGGAUCAAUGUUUGACAAUUUAGCAUUUAUAAAAUUUGAUUUAAUCUA